AAGAAGACAGCGGUGAGCAGUUCAUCGUCAUUGUUUCCCCUGGGCGUAUGGCAUCCUUCGGUCGGGAGUCCCAUUUCGUGGAGGGCACAUUUAUGCUGAGAGGUGCUUACAGCCUGGAGUAUUAACCUGGAGUAUUCACCCGUCAUUUUCAUCAUGUAGCAAUACUGCCUUCAAAAAAGUGAAGUGGAUCAGAUCUUCGCAGCUUUCAAGGAACCCAACAACGAGCCGAUGGAGAGACCUGAAGAAGUUGCCGACGGUCACCCAGAGGUGGAGAAAUCUACAGAGAUUGGACAGAAUAAUGCGGACACCCGUCUAACAUGUAGAGGACUAUGUUUUGCAUCCAAACCAGUUUGAGCGUUCCUGGAGAUCUCUCCUACAAAUACUGUGUGCCAGUUAGCAGAAUUACAUUCCACUAUUCACAAAUACACUGUUUCAGGAGAGAUGCAUGAGGAGCAUAAGGAAUCCUCAUAGUUUUUAUCACUGAUCAGAAUGACUACAUAAGAUACAAAUUAGAUAUUUGUGGAAAGUCUGAAGAACGUUAUUUCACUCUAAUAACCUUCAAAACAGUCUUGAAAAUUUCCAGUGUGUGACCAGGAGAAUUAUCAUAUUGGAAGAUUCAUAUGUUGCAGUGUACCAUAUAAUCAACACUUCGAUACAAAAUGGUUGGUUACCUUUCCCGUUACGAUUCAUUUCAAGCUGACCAUCAGACCCGCCGUAAACCAGUAAAAAUGCUACACAGCAUUUACGAUGCUACAGUGCUGAAAUGAUACUAUACUGGCAACACGAUUUCUCAGUGUUCUCCAUAACAAGGACAUCUGCGACUGGGGCAGUAUACAGGAAAACACGCCGGAGUAUAUCUCCUGUACUAUUACUCAAAGUGGCCGAAGGUAGACCACAUGACUCCGGCCUGGUGGUCCCGGGUUCUUCCUCGUUCCAGGCCCUCCAGGACUGUCCAGGCCCACUCAACUUGCUAUCAGGCACCAGAUCCAGGGGGUAAAAGGGGACUGAGGCGGUGGCCGCACCACCCUCCCACCCUCUCCCCUCCUCACCUAGUGUCGCGACGAGUGAAGGACUACGCUCUACCCGCAAUGAGGCCAAAAGCUCAUUCACGAGCUAAGAGCCACAGCCUUUAUCACUCAGACGUCCAGCUCUGUCAAUGUCUUGUUUGCGUAAUUCCCGUCAUACUGCUUUCGGUAGACUGUAGACACAUAUUGUGCUCAGAGGUCACUUUCUGACGGUAUUAGAGGUGAGAGCACUCUUGCAGUUUGUUAUACAUGACAGAGCACUGUAGAUGCAAUGCGCCACAAAAUUAUCAUAUUAUCACGACGCUGGACACAGUAGCUCUGGGUAUCCCCAGUUCGCAGGCAUACCAAUUUCUCGGGACGCACUGAUGAGUGUUACAUAGUACGUAAGGAAAAUAAACGGUCAGGUUAUAAUUUGCGAUUCUUAUUGUUUACACUAUAGUAUAGAGGAAAAACAAGACAACAUAAGAUUAUAAGUUGCAGAUAUUAUUGUUUAUACAUGGAUGUUCAUAUUAUUCUGUCCAAUCCCUGUAGAUUUUAGCAAUCUGUCUAUUAAUGGUAUAUCAAUGAAAAAUAAACACA
Schistocerca gregaria is the source of this 1604-nucleotide long non-coding RNA. RefSeq lists it as uncharacterized. Lineage: Eukaryota; Metazoa; Arthropoda; Insecta; Orthoptera; Acrididae. The record is from RefSeq and is a predicted model, not a curated record. The transcript has 3 exons.